CGCUGAGUUUGAUCCUGGCUCAGGAUGAACGCUAGCGGCAGGCUUAACACAUGCAAGUCGAGGGGUAUAGUUCUUCGGAGCUAGAGACCGGCGCACGGGUGCGUAACGCGUAUGCAAUCUACCUUUUACAGAGGGAUAGCCCAGAGAAAUUUGGAUUAAUACCUCAUAGUAUGUGAGAAUCGAAUGGUUUUUCACAUUAAAGUUCCAACGGUAAAAGAUGAGCAUGCGUCCCAUUAGCUAGAUGGUAAGGUAACGGCUUACCAUGGCGACGAUGGGUAGGGGUCCUGAGAGGGAGAUCCCCCGACACUGGUACUGAGACACGGACCAGACUCCGUACGGGGAGCAGCAGUUGGGGAAUUUUGGACAUGGACGCAAGUCUGAUCCCAGCCCA
RNAcentral lists this ribosomal RNA (391 nucleotides) under uncultured Flavobacterium sp. RNAcentral's name for it is "bacterial SSU rRNA". It matches the Rfam family "Bacterial small subunit ribosomal RNA", at positions 1 to 395 of the family's 1533-position model. Lineage: Bacteria; Pseudomonadati; Bacteroidota; Flavobacteriia; Flavobacteriales; Flavobacteriaceae. The record is from RNAcentral.